Molecule: ribosomal RNA, 1070 nt
Filed under: Draculoides sp. SCH069
Lineage: Eukaryota; Metazoa; Arthropoda; Arachnida; Schizomida; Hubbardiidae
Also listed under: 1 other name
Description: partial large subunit ribosomal RNA
Rfam family: Eukaryotic large subunit ribosomal RNA
Source: RNAcentral
UUAGUAGCGGCGAGCGAACAGGGAAGAGCCCAGCGCCGAAUUCCGCGUCUCAAAGGGCGUUUGGAACAUGUGGCGUUUAGGAGGAAUCUCUCCGAGGGCAGACGGUGUCGCAAGUCCCCCUGAACGGGGCUGUGAUCCAGAGCGGGUGCGAGGCCCAUAGCUGGUACCGUCUCCUUUGGGUGUCCCCUCCUUGGAGUCGGGUUGCUUGGGAGUGCAGCCCUAAUUGGGUGGUAAACUCCACCUAAGGCUAAAUACGUCCGUGAGACCGAUAGCAAACAAGUACCGUGAGGGAAAGUUGCAAAGAACUUUGAAGAGAGAGUUCAAGAGUACGUGAAACCGCUCAGAGGCAAACGGGUGGGCCCACGAAAGCCGAAGGCGGGGGGAUUCAGUCGAGAGGACGGUGGGGCAGGACUGGCUGGUUGGACGGACCGUGCCAGGCCGGGUCAGUUCCCGAGAUCUGCCGCCUUUCGACGCAUUUCCCCCUGCUUAGUAGGACGCCGCAACCGGUUGGCGCUGCAGCCAUAAGGGAGAGUAAAUGGAAGGUAGCCAGUGAGUUCUUCUUCGGAGGCGCGAGCUGGUCCUAAGCCGACUCUCCUGGUGCUUGUGGCCCGACCGUGGUCGUGAGUCCCUCAACGGGAUGUCGCCGAGCCCUCUGACUGGAGCGGGAGAAAUGGCAGGCUGCUUUCCGCGGAAAAAAUCGAUCGCUUCACGCGUGCAGUGGGCGAUCUCCGGAGGUAGCUGCUGGUGCGUUUUUCUCCUGCGCUGGGCACAGGCAGUUGGCGGCGAGUAGGUCGGUCACCCACCCGACCCGUCUUGAAACACGGACCAAGGAGUCUAACAUGUGCGCGAGUCAUUGGGUCUUGAACAAGCCCAAAGGCGCAAUGAAAGUGAAGACCAGCACUGAAGCUGGUGGAGUUGGGAAACUGUGUCACUGAAGAUGCAGUUGCACCAACGGCCCGUCCCGUCCGCAUCGUCGGUGGGGCGGAGCGAGAGCGUACACGUUGGGACCCGAAAGAUGGUGAACUAUGCCUGGGCAGGACGAAGCCAGAGGAAACUCUGGUGGAGGUCCG